UUCCCUGGAUAUCUUUCCACUACUGAAAAUGUGCUUUUCACUGAUGUCCCAGCAGGUCUUGCUGCUUGGAGCAAAGUGCCAGCUGGUGGAAUAUUCCAAAUUAUUGGUUUCAUUGGUGCCAUGGAAUGCCAGGUAAU
This 137-nucleotide non-coding RNA is filed under the name Fibrocapsa japonica. The record is from RNAcentral. Lineage: Eukaryota; Raphidophyceae; Chattonellales; Chattonellaceae.